This is a non-coding RNA of Vicugna pacos (alpaca), 109 nucleotides long. The record is from RefSeq and is a predicted model, not a curated record. NCBI's taxonomy places the organism in Eukaryota, Metazoa, Chordata, Mammalia, Artiodactyla, Camelidae.
AAGAGGAACUAACAAAGAAUUGUUGGCCAUUAUACUUCAAAAACGAAGAAACAAACACAUAGAAAAAGAGAUCAGAUUUGUGGUUACCAGAGGCAGAGAGUAAGAGUAG